UUAACGCGAAGAACCUUACCUGGCCUUGACAUCCUGCGAACUUUCUAGAGAUAGAUUGGUGCCUUCGGGGACGUAGUGACAGGUGCUGCAUGGCCGUCGUCAGCUCGUGUCGUGAGAUGUUGGGUUAAGUCCCGUAACGAGCGCAACCCCUAUCCCUAGUUGCUAGCAGUUCGGCUGAGAACUCUAGGGAGACUGCCGGUGACAACCCGGAGGAAGGUGGGGAUGACGUCAGGUCAUCAUGGCCCUUACGGCCAGGGCUACACACGUGCUACAAUGGCGCGCACAGAGGGCUGCAAACUCGCGAGGGUAAGCCAAUCUCUUAAAACGCGUCGUAGUCCGGAUCGCAGUCUGCAACUCGACUGCGUGAAGUCGGAAUCGCUAGUAAUCGCGAAUCAGAAUG
RNAcentral lists this ribosomal RNA (400 nucleotides) under uncultured Marinobacter sp. RNAcentral's name for it is "bacterial SSU rRNA". It matches the Rfam family "Bacterial small subunit ribosomal RNA", at positions 956 to 1356 of the family's 1533-position model. Lineage: Bacteria; Pseudomonadati; Pseudomonadota; Gammaproteobacteria; Pseudomonadales; Marinobacteraceae. The record is from RNAcentral.